RNAcentral lists this ribosomal RNA (486 nucleotides) under uncultured bacterium. RNAcentral's name for it is "bacterial SSU rRNA". It matches the Rfam family "Bacterial small subunit ribosomal RNA", at positions 28 to 507 of the family's 1533-position model. RNAcentral also lists the same sequence under 1 other name. The record is from RNAcentral.
GAUUAACGCUAGCGGCAGGCCUAAUACAUGCAAGUCGAGGGGCAGCAGGGUGUAGCAAUACAUCGCUGGCGACCGGCGCACGGGUGCGUAACACGUAUGCAACCUACCUUUAACUGGGGAAUAGCCCUCCGAAAGGAGGAUUAACACCGCAUAACAUCACGAGACGGCAUCGCCUUGUGAUCAAACCUCCGGGGGUUAAAGAUGGGCAUGCGUCCGAUUAGCUAGUUGGCGGGGUAACGGCCCACCAAGGCGACGAUCGGUAGGGGGUCUGAGAGGAUGAUCCCCCACACUGGUACUGAGACACGGACCAGACUCCUACGGGAGGCAGCAGUAAGGAAUAUUGGACAAUGGUCGCAAGACUGAUCCAGCCAUGCCGCGUGCAGGAUGAACGAUCUAUGAUCUGUAAACUGCUUUUGUUCGGGAAUAAACCCCUUCACGUGUGGAGGGCUGAAUGUACCGAAAGAAUAAGGGUCGGCUAACUUCGUG